UGUCGGUCCCCGCGCAAUGAUACGCUGUAAACCCCGCCAGGCCCGGAAGGGAGCAACGG
This 59-nucleotide signal recognition particle RNA is filed under the name Pseudohongiella sp. Its description in RNAcentral is "partial signal recognition particle sRNA small type". It matches the Rfam family "Bacterial small signal recognition particle RNA", at positions 1 to 59 of the family's 97-position model. Rfam says of the family: The signal recognition particle (SRP) is a universally conserved ribonucleoprotein involved in the co-translational targeting of proteins to membranes. Archaeal SRP consists of a 7S RNA and homologues of the eukaryotic SRP19 and SRP54 proteins. In most bacteria, the SRP consists of a 4.5S RNA and the Ffh protein (a homologue of the eukaryotic SRP54 protein). Lineage: Bacteria; Pseudomonadati; Pseudomonadota; Gammaproteobacteria; Pseudomonadales; Pseudohongiellaceae. The record is from RNAcentral.